This is a long non-coding RNA of Serinus canaria (Common canary), 1139 nucleotides long. RefSeq lists it as uncharacterized. Lineage: Eukaryota; Metazoa; Chordata; Aves; Passeriformes; Fringillidae. The transcript has 3 exons. The record is from RefSeq and is a predicted model, not a curated record.
CUGCAGUGCUCAGGUAACCCCUCAGUGAGCUCAGGUAACCCCUGUAACCCCUCAGUGAGCUCAGGUAACCCCUGUAACCCCUCACUGUGCUCAGGUAACCCCUGUAACCCCUCAGUGUGCUCAGGUAACCCCUGUAACCCCUCAGUGAGCUCAGGUAACCCCUGUAACCCCUCAGUGUGCUCAGGUAACCCCUGUAACCCCUCAGUGAGCUCAGGUAACCCCUGUAACCCCUCAGUGAGCUCAGGUAACCCCUGUAACCCCUCACUGUGCUCAGGUAACCCCUGUAACCCCUCACUGUGCUCAGGUAACCCCUGUAACCCCUCACUGUGCUCAGGUAACCCCUGUAACCCCUCAGUGUGCUCAGGUAACCCCUGUAACCCCUCAGUGAGCUCAGGUAACCCCUGUAACCCCUCAGUGAGCUCAGGUAACCCCUGUAACCCCUCAGUGUGCUCAGGUAACCCCUGUAACCCCUCAGUGAGCUCAGGUAACCCCUGUAACCCCUCAGUGAGCUCAGGUAACCCCUGUAACCCCUCACCGUGCUCAGGUAACCCCAGCAGGGCAGGGCUGGGCUCGGGGAGCAGGGAGGAGCUUGGCAGUGAUGGAUUCAUGCUGAAGAGGUGGAAGGGAAGGGGUGUGAUAGCCACAAGGAGAUUCCAGUGUCAUUUGAGGCCAGGCUGGAAAGUCAGGGGCUGGUGGGGAGCUCCACAGCUGGGCUGAGCUGCUGGAGCAGCGUGGGGAGCUGCUGAGGGGAGCAGCAGCAGCAGCAGCAGCGACUCCAGACCCAGAGGGAAUGCUUGGGUUUGUCCAUCCUGGUGCUGCUGUCACAGAGCAGGUGCUGUGGAGGCAGUAGUCCCUUCAGGUGACUUCCACAGGCACAGGGAUGAGCCUGUGAGCAUUUCUGGGGUGCACAAAGCAAUGUGUCCUUUCCCAGCAGGAUCUUUUUCUUCUUGCUAGAAGCACUGUUCUCCUGGCCAGAUUCUAGGUGUAAAUGAGGUAUAAAUUUAGAAGAAUAGUAUUUAUUAUCUGUAGGAAGACAGGAAUGAAAGAGACUUCCUGAGGUAUUUCAUCCCUACCACAAGCAAUGUAUCUUAAAAUCCCUAGAUCUUUAAUACAUAGCAAUCCUUAGAUUUUUAUCAAGC